CGUAACAGCUCACUGGUCAAGUGUUCGGGCGCGGAUAAUGUAACGGGGCUCAAGCAAGUCACCGAAGCUGCGGGUUCGUGAUUUAUCACGAGCGGUAGGAGAGCGUUCCCUGGCCAGUGAAGCGGCGGCGGAAGCCAGUCGUGGAGGCCUGGGAAGUGAGAAUGCCGGCAUGAGUAACGAAAGAAUGGUGAGAAUCCAUUCCACCGAUUGCCCAAGGAUUCCUGAGCAACGUUCGUCGGCUCAGGGUUAGUCAGGACCUAAGGCGAGGCCGAAAGGCGUAGUCGAUGGCCAACAGGUUGAUAUUCCUGUACCACGUCGAGUUCGUUUGACCGAUGGGGGGACGAGGAAGGCUAUGGGAACCCAGGCGAUGGUUGCCCUGGGACAAGCGUGUAGGGGAGGGCCUAGGCAAAUCCGGGCCUUCUUAACCUGAGACGUGAUGUCAGCUGGCCCAAGGGCCGGCGAGUCCCGAACGCCAUGCCUCCUAGAAAAGCCUCUAGGGAGAACUCGCGUGCCUGUACCAAAACCGACACAGGUGGGCAAGUAGAGAAUACUAAGGUGAUCGAGAUAACCCUCGUUAAGGAACUCGGCAAAAUUGCUCCGUAACUUCGGGAUAAGGAGCGCCCCAGUAGGGUGAGGCCGCUUGCCGGCGGAGCCCGAGGGGGCCGCAGUGAAUAGGCAGAAGCGACUGUUUACCAAAAACACAGGUCUCUGCUAAGUCGAAAGACGACGUAUAGGGGCUGACGCCUGCCCGGUGCCGGAAGGUUACGUGGAGUUGUUAGGGCUUGACCCGAAGCAGCGAAGCUAAGCCCCGGUAAACGGCGGCCGUAACUAUAACGGUCCUAAGGUAGCGAAAUUCCUUGUCGGGUAAGUUCCGACCUGCACGAAUGGCGUAACGACUUCUGCGCUGUCUCAACGAGGGGCUCGGUGAAAUUCCAGUCUCGGUGAAGAUGCCGAGUACCCGCGGCUAGACGGAAAGACCCCGUGAACCUUUACUACACCCUGGUAUUGGCGUUCGGUGCAUUUCGCUCAGAAUAGGUGGGAGGCUUUGAAGCACAGGCUGCGGCUUGUGUGGAGCCAACUUUGAGAUACCACCCUUGAUGUAUUGGACGUCUAACAUCGCGCCGUAAUCCGGGCGGUGAACAGUGCCAGGCGGGUAGUUUGACUGGGGCGGUCGCCUCCUAAAAUGUAACGGAGGCGUGCAAAGGUUCCCUCAGCACGGUCGGAAAUCGUGCGUAGAGUGCAAUGGCAACAAGGGAGCUUGACUGCGAGACCGACGGGUCGAGCAGGUGCGAAAGCAGGUCAUAGUGAUCCGGCGGUAGCAAGUGGAAGCGCCGUCGCUCAACGGAUAAAAGGUACUCCGGGGAUAACAGGCU
This 1373-nucleotide ribosomal RNA is filed under the name activated sludge metagenome. Its description in RNAcentral is "bacterial LSU rRNA". It matches the Rfam family "Bacterial large subunit ribosomal RNA", at positions 1133 to 2483 of the family's 2925-position model. The record is from RNAcentral.